UGUUAAAAAUUUCAUCUAUUUUUAUUGUUAAAAACUUACGUAAUUGACGAAAGAACUAGACAGUUACACAUGGUGUGUCACGUACAAAGAUUUGUUUUUUAUAAUAAAAAUGAAUGAAUUUUUAACA
RNAcentral lists this microRNA precursor (127 nucleotides) under Gossypium hirsutum (cotton). RNAcentral's name for it is "MIR7502 microRNA precursor family". It matches the Rfam family "MIR7502 microRNA precursor family". The record is from Rfam by way of RNAcentral. Lineage: Eukaryota; Viridiplantae; Streptophyta; Magnoliopsida; Malvales; Malvaceae.